RNAcentral lists this ribosomal RNA (1138 nucleotides) under Flavobacterium sp. RNAcentral describes it as "bacterial SSU rRNA". It matches the Rfam family "Bacterial small subunit ribosomal RNA", at positions 66 to 1214 of the family's 1533-position model. Lineage: Bacteria; Pseudomonadati; Bacteroidota; Flavobacteriia; Flavobacteriales; Flavobacteriaceae. The record is from RNAcentral.
GGUAUAGUUCUUCGGAACUAGAGACCGGCGCACGGGUGCGUAACGCGUAUGCAAUCUACCUUUUACAGAGGGAUAGCCCAGAGAAAUUUGGAUUAAUACCUCAUAGCAUAGCAAUCUCGCAUGAGAUCACUAUUAAAGUCACAACGGUAAAAGAUGAGCAUGCGUCCCAUUAGCUAGUUGGUAAGGUAACGGCUUACCAAGGCUACGAUGGGUAGGGGUCCUGAGAGGGAGAUCCCCCACACUGGUACUGAGACACGGACCAGACUCCUACGGGAGGCAGCAGUGAGGAAUAUUGGACAAUGGGCGCAAGCCUGAUCCAGCCAUGCCGCGUGCAGGAUGACGGUCCUAUGGAUUGUAAACUGCUUUUAUACGAGAAGAAACACUCCAACGUGUUGGAGCUUGACGGUAUCGUAAGAAUAAGGAUCGGCUAACUCCGUGCCAGCAGCCGCGGUAAUACGGAGGAUCCAAGCGUUAUCCGGAAUCAUUGGGUUUAAAGGGUCCGUAGGGCGGUUUAGUAAGUCAGUGGUGAAAGCCCAUCGCUCAACGGUGGAACGGCCAUUGAUACUGCUAAACUUGAAUUAUUAGGAAGUAACUAGAAUAUGUAGUGUAGCGGUGAAAUGCUUAGAGAUUACAUGGAAUACCAAUUGCGAAGGCAGGUUACUACUAAUGGAUUGACGCUGAUGGACGAAAGCGUGGGUAGCGAACAGGAUUAGAUACCCUGGUAGUCCACGCCGUAAACGAUGGAUACUAGCUGUUGGGAGCAAUCUCAGUGGCUAAGCGAAAGUGAUAAGUAUCCCACCUGGGGAGUACGUUCGCAAGAAUGAAACUCAAAGGAAUUGACGGGGGCCCGCACAAGCGGUGGAGCAUGUGGUUUAAUUCGAUGAUACGCGAGGAACCUUACCAAGGCUUAAAUGUAGAUUGACCGGUUUGGAAACAGAUCUUUCGCAAGACAAUUUACAAGGUGCUGCAUGGUUGUCGUCAGCUCGUGCCGUGAGGUGUCAGGUUAAGUCCUAUAACGAGCGCAACCCCUGUUGUUAGUUGCCAGCGAGUCAUGUCGGGAACUCUAACAAGACUGCCAGUGCAAACUGUGAGGAAGGUGGGGAUGACGUCAAAUCAUCACGGCCCUUACGCCUUGGGC